UUCCGGAUGAUCCUGCCGGAGGUUACUGUAUCGGUGUUCGCUAAGCCAUGCGAGUCAUAUGUAGCAAUACUGGCGUACUGCUCACUAACACGUGGAUAACCUGCCUUGGGACCGGCAUAACCCCGGGAAACUGGGGAUAAUUCCGGAUAACGCAUAUGUGCUGGAAUGCUUUAUGCGUAAAAUGGAUUCGUCUGCCCAAGGAUGGGUCUGCGGCCUAUCAGGUAGUAGUGGGUGUAAUGUACUACUAGCCAGCGACGGGUACGGGUUGUGAGAGCAAGAGCCCGGAGAUGGAUUCUGAGACAUGAAUCCAGGCCCUACGGGGCCCAGCAGGCGCGAAAACUUUACAAUGCGGGAAACCGUGAUAAGGGGACACCGAGUCCCAGCAUCAUAUGCUGGCUGUCCAGGUGUGUAAAAUACACCUGUUAGCAAGGGCCGGGCAAGACCGUGCCAGCCGCCGCGGUAACACCGGCGGCCCGAGUGGUGAUCGUGAUUAUUGGGUCUAAAGGGUCCGUAGCCGGUUUGGUCAGUCCUCCGGGAAAUCUGAUAGCUCAACUAUUAGGCUUUCGGGGGAUACUGCCAGACUUGGAACCGGGAGAGGUAAGAGGUAC
RNAcentral lists this ribosomal RNA (608 nucleotides) under uncultured archaeon. Its description in RNAcentral is "bacterial SSU rRNA". It matches the Rfam family "Archaeal small subunit ribosomal RNA", at positions 1 to 618 of the family's 1478-position model. The record is from RNAcentral.